GACGUAGGGUGCAAGCGUUGUCCGGAAUUAUUGGGCGUAAAGAGUUCGUAGGCGGUUUCUUAAGUCUGGCGUUAAAGCCCGGAGCUCAACUCCGGCAUGGCGUUGGAAACUGGGAAGCUAGAGUGUGGCAGAGGUAUCGGGAAUUCCAGGUGUAGCGGUGAAAUGCGUAGAUAUCUGGAGGAACACCGGUGGCGAAAGCGCGAUACUGGGCCAUAACUGACGCUGAGGAACGAAAGCCAGGGGAGCAAAAGGG
This 253-nucleotide ribosomal RNA is filed under the name uncultured bacterium. RNAcentral describes it as "partial 16S ribosomal RNA". It matches the Rfam family "Bacterial small subunit ribosomal RNA", at positions 524 to 776 of the family's 1533-position model. The record is from RNAcentral.